Molecule: non-coding RNA, 481 nt
Organism: Maylandia zebra (zebra mbuna)
Lineage: Eukaryota; Metazoa; Chordata; Actinopteri; Cichliformes; Cichlidae
Source: RefSeq, a predicted model, not a curated record
ACAUGAGAGACGGGAAACAGGCUGGUGACGAAGCAUGUGUGCAUGAGAGAGAGAGAGAGAGUGAGAGAGAGAGAAACAACCAUACCGGCAGCUUCGAGCUGAUUACACUCCAACGGCCAGCACACACACUUUUGUGAGCUAAUGGAUGCUUUCCAGCUUCUCUUUCUUGUUGCAGUGGUGACAUCCAUAUCAGAAUGGAAAUCAGUUUCAGAUUCUGGCAAAUCACAAUGUGAGAUCAUGAAUGAGGAGAGCAUUACAGUGCUUGAAGGGGAGUCUCUUUUUAUGUACCUUUUAUUUUAGAACCAAACUUCAACAAUAAAAAUUUUACAUGGUACAAAUAUAGCACCCAAAUUCAGAAUAUUUCCUCUGAUAAGAAAGCCAGGGUGCAUUACCAAGGCGAAGCACUGUUUCUCUUAAACCUCAACAUUUCUGAUUCUGGAGAUUACGCUGCUUGGGAAAUCAAGUCUUCAGGACAAUGUUU